This 2379-nucleotide ribosomal RNA is filed under the name Triticum aestivum (bread wheat). Its description in RNAcentral is "partial small subunit ribosomal RNA". The record is from RNAcentral. Lineage: Eukaryota; Viridiplantae; Streptophyta; Magnoliopsida; Poales; Poaceae.
GGGCUUAGGGACCGCAGGUGUACUUUUAGUUAGCCCUAGCGGUGCGCAGGGCGUUGUCGGGCCGGGCGCGUCUGCCCAGCGGUAGCAGCGGGGACCUGGUCAACGAACGAGGAAGGGGGGAAGGGGCAGGCGGUAACCAGCAGCGGUAAAAGGUUAGGGCGAUAAUUUGAGCAAGGGGAGGGUUCUUGGGCGUCUCGCGUCCGUCCGUAGAAGAAGGGGGAAGGAGGAGGGGAGAGGAGGCAGCGGCGGCGACCGAAAGGAAGGGCGCUCGCUCCUAGCAGGGACUAGGCUUGCCCCGGGCGGGGGGCGGAGGAGGCACGGACCUCCACUUGGUUCGUUUAUAAAAGGACUGCCGUUCAAACAAUGUCUGACCGGAAAGGAACCGACUUAGCCGUGUGUGAUGAUUGUACCUUUGUAUGUGGUGCCUACUACGCGAAUGUUGGUACCCUAAACCUUUUAACGUUCCUGAACAAGAACAAAUACGUCCGUACCCAACCCAACGUCUUCGGUACCUCCAGUACGAUGACAGCAAACAACCUGGUAACUAAGCCCUCCUUACCUUUUAGAGACGGGUUCUACUCUCAAAUGAGAGUUCACAUCACAAAAACCCGUACAAUUAACCUCGUACACCGACCCCUAUACACAGACUGUUUAUACCCGCUUCCUGACCAAAUGACAAAAGUUGAGACAAAUGAUGACCUUACCCAAAGGAUUCACGAAACAGAGGCUUGAUAAAUACAAACUACCGAGAAGCGAAAGAGCAACCGCAUCCUGACCCACCGUCGGUACACAUAAGUAGAACCAAAAACCUUAAACAAGGACGUGUUUUAGCACCGAAAACCUACUAAUAAAAAAGGAAAAAGACCUGAUAACCGUGUCAGAACCUCCGAAGUGAACGUACCUAACAGCAUAGUUGUAACUGAACCUCCACCAACGAUCGUAACUGACGGUAGGGAACGAAAGAGAACGAGGGAAAGAAACCUUAGUGUGGACUUAGCGGUGCGAUAGACACACGCGUUUUAUCUUACAGACUACGUUGUGAACAGGACCUCUCUUAGCGGCUCUGUUUGGUUCGUCGAGAAGGCGGACCUCAAGAGCAUAUGGGAGCUCUGCCACUUCGACUAGUAUCACCAGAAUGGAGACUCCGUCUAGUAGAAGAAGGUGAGUCUCUCUUCCUUACGUGUCUACUACUACAGUACUCGGGGUUUAGACCAUCACGACGACGUAACGCGUCAGAUGACAGUGCCUUUAACGCGUCUAGUUGAGAAGAUGAAACCAAACAAAAGAUGCGUUUAAGGAAACGAAUAAUACCUGAUCAGAACGACUGGCGUGUUGACUCGUUACGUUUAUCUUCGACGCGUAGACCCGACUUUAUGCACUUCUCACUUUGUCUAUGGUCGGACAUGUUUCUAUGUAAACAAUGAUCAGAACGUCUCUAAGGCCCAGAUUAACGCAGGCGACAAGAGCAACUUACCAAACCGGCUUUUCGAUGUUACACCACGGACGAGAAGUGUACGACACCAAAGGAACCUGGUGAACACGAAAUAGUCUCACUCGAUACCUGUUGACCGGAAGACAAACCACGAGCACGCACACGGUACCCAUCGAUGUGUCAACAUACAAAUAUGCGGGGUCUCCAUAUGGGCUGUAGACACGCGAGCUGACCCCAACCUUAGCGCUGGCGGUACCCAUCUCAGCCACCUUAAUAAACGGGGGAACAUCGGCAACCCUACGACUCUUCGACGGUAGUCUACCUUCGGUAGUAACAUAAACUCCACCACGAUAAGGAACGACGUUAACGGACGUACGAGAAGGGAAAACUCUGGUUCCCGGCACGAUACUUAACUACUACCAGGACCACACUUGUACAUUUUGGUGAACCUGGUAUUUUAGGCAGUACGACGAUGCGCACUUGCAAAUAUAUGUUUGAUAAUAUACAGAUCAUAAAAUCACCUGUACUGCUACUUCUUAGGAGCUUUAAGUAAAGCCCCAAAGCCUACAAUAACCAGUAGUAAAACAUUUCAGGAGCGAGGAACUCUGACAUUCAUCCUCAUACCAUACCAUACCAUACCAUACCAUACAUACAUACAUAUUUAAGAAGCUUGCACUAAUUCACAGACGUUGUCCGUAAAGAUGGUCAUUGUAAACGACUUAAGAGUACAACUAAACCAAGGGUCAGCUUCAAUCUCAACGUUCAACAUUGAGAUCAAUCGAACACAACACCAAUACCUCAACAAUCCGACGAACGGAGUAUGUACCAACAAUUUAUCUGAACGUAAAAUCACUUGGAAUAUUAAUGUAUAAAAGUGAUUCUAGCGAUCAAACUUUAUUUUAAAGAAUGAUCAGUAGAUAAGUAGAGUAACGAGAUCAGCUGUGGGC